CUGCAGUGAUGUAAAAAGUUUGAAUUUCUUCACCUGAAUGUUCCGAGAAGACAUCAUUGACAAAACUGAGCAGA
Small nucleolar RNA from Dreissena polymorpha, 74 nucleotides. The record is from RefSeq and is a predicted model, not a curated record. NCBI's taxonomy places the organism in Eukaryota, Metazoa, Mollusca, Bivalvia, Myida, Dreissenidae.